Long non-coding RNA from Oncorhynchus tshawytscha (Chinook salmon), 1270 nucleotides. NCBI's taxonomy places the organism in Eukaryota, Metazoa, Chordata, Actinopteri, Salmoniformes, Salmonidae. The record is from Ensembl.
CUCUCGCACCGAUGCCUGUGUUUACACAGGCAGCCCAAUUCUGAUUACAUUUUUUUCCACUCAUUGGUCUUUGGACCAACCAAAUCCGAUCUUUUCACAUCUAGAUCUGAUUUGUCAAAAGACCAAUUAGUGAAGGAAAAAAAAGAUUAGAAUUGGGCUGCCUGUGUAAACAGCCUAAGUGAAACCACAGAUAUGAACGCUAAAUCUUUCCCACCAUCCUUUGUGGACUACAUUUAUCUUGUGAUUUGUUUUGUGUGUGACUGUGGACUGAUGCCUCUAUCAUGUUUAAAUCUUCCUGUCAAUCUCUAUUCUAUGACUGUAACCUCUCACUCUUUCUCUCCCUAACUCUCCCCAGUGACUCUAAGGGCUUGAUUAUAUUUGCUACAAAUGUCCAGAAAUAUGUCAUCUAGAUCAGACAUACCUCUCUGACAUGUAGAAUAAGGAAUCAUGUCCGCUCGAUUUGUGACAUUUCUAUAUGCAGUGUUCAGUAGAUUGCACGUGACCCAGGACUACAAGAUUGUUUCUUUUAAUGAUUACUAACUAGUGAGCACUUUAACCAGGGGGUGUUUUCUCUCCACACUGCUGUCUUCUGAAUCCCAUGUGAUUUUUUUAUAUAUAUAUAUAUAAAAUCACACUUUAGUUCUCACAUAUCUGAAGGACUGUUUGUUUUCUAUCUGUUGUCUUAGCCAUGCAGUCUUUAUUAUUAGUUAUAGUGCCAAUAAACAAAAUGUUGAAAAUGACAACCAAACUGGCAUGUGAACCUGAGCAGAAUAACUACUGUGGUAAAUUAUUGCAUACAAUUGAUUAAAACCCAGAUUUUAUUUUAUUUGCACAUGUAUAGAGAUUUAUAUUUAAAAAAAAUAUUUUAUUUUUAUGUAUUUUAACAAAACAAAAAAAAAUCUUGCAUAAGUAGACCUGUUUUUGCACUGACAUUUUGUAUGAGCACUGGACUGCAUGCAGAAAACUGAGUCUUUGCACAGUUAAUGUUCUCCACUUCCAUGAUGAAUUUAAAUUUAAGUGAUUUGAGAUUAUUAUUGUAAUAUUUAUGAAAUGUUAAUUACACUAGUUUAACAGCAGCAAAUGACAGUACAGACUUUUCCUUUUCUUCAAUUCCAUGUACAUUUUAAUUUCCGGUGUGGAUUUAUGGAUUGAGAUUUUUAUAGACGAUUCCUGUUUCAACAGCCUAACAAAAAUCAUUUCCAUCUGAGAUAGGUUGCUGAAUGACAACACUGAAAAUAAAACAUGUCUAGAUUGUAUACAAAUAAAACUG